This 522-nucleotide ribosomal RNA is filed under the name uncultured bacterium. Its description in RNAcentral is "bacterial SSU rRNA". It matches the Rfam family "Bacterial small subunit ribosomal RNA", at positions 777 to 1297 of the family's 1533-position model. The record is from RNAcentral.
AAUAGAUACCCCGGUAGUCCACGCCGUAAACGUUGGGCGCUAGAUGUGGGGGCCAUUCCACGGUUUCCGCGUCGUAGCUAACGCAUUAAGCGCCCCGCCUGGGGAGUACGGCCGCAAGGCUAAAACUCAAAGGAAUUGACGGGGGCCCGCACAAGCGGCGGAGCAUGCGGAUUAAUUCGAUGCAACGCGAAGAACCUUACCAAGGCUUGACAUAUACGAGAACACUGCAGAAAUGUAGGACUCUUUGGACACUCGUAAACAGGUGGUGCAUGGUUGUCGUCAGCUCGUGUCGUGAGAUGUUGGGUUAAGUCCCGCAACGAGCGCAACCCUCGUCGCAUGUUGCCAGCACGUUAUGGUGGGAACUCAUGUGAGACUGCCGGGGUCAACUCGGAGGAAGGUGGGGAUGACGUCAAAUCAUCAUGCCCCUUAUGUCUUGGGCUUCACGCAUGCUACAAUGGCCGGUACAAAGGGCUGCAAUACCGCAAGGUGGAGCGAAUCCCAAAAAGCCGGUCUCAGUUCGGA